Lactuca sativa (garden lettuce) is the source of this 3215-nucleotide long non-coding RNA. RefSeq lists it as uncharacterized. NCBI's taxonomy places the organism in Eukaryota, Viridiplantae, Streptophyta, Magnoliopsida, Asterales, Asteraceae. The record is from RefSeq and is a predicted model, not a curated record.
UCAUUACGCGGGCUGAUCACGCGGGCUGAUUUCUUGCGUUUUCCAUAAAUUAUUACCUUCUCUCUUCCUCUUUAGCAACAAUCCUCCUUUAACCUCCUAGUCCCACCUUCUAUUUUGCACUCAUCUUCCCAUUAGGAUUCUUUCGCUUCUGCAACUAUAUUCCUAAUCAAUUAGGAUUCUUUGUUUCUCCUCAUAUCUCCUCUAAUCGUUGAAACCCUAGCUUCUCCGUCGUCUGCUAAACCCACCACCAUCACUGCGUCCCCGUCGUUACUCCUCAACUAAGAGUUCCAUCUGACAUCCAAUGCUACCUCAAAGUUAUGAAGGCGGAUCUGUCGAGUCGAGUUUUGAUGAAGAAGGUUCUAAUACAGCUCAAAAAGAGGUUCACGAUUAUGGCUUCAUUAAUUAUCAUUCUCCCUCCUGUAGAGGGUUCGUAAAGUGAUUAUGUUGACAUAGAGUUUGGUGAAAGUGAUAAGGAAGGAAGAAGAAUGAUGGCUAGAACCAGAGGCGGUAACCAAAUAGGCUGAGAAGCUACAUGUUUAACUCUUCAUUGUGAAGAAACCUAAAUGGGAAGGCCUCUUCAAGCAGCAUAGAAGGAAUUUAGUUAAAGUGGAUAUCAUUAAACUUGAAUUGAGCUACAAAUGGUACUAAUCAAACCUGUUAUUUUGUUCUUUGUUUCUUAAUCUAAUUUCUAUGAAUAAUUGCCUUUUUCUAAUUUAGCUAAUAUCUAAUAUCUAUGCUUUGUGCUAUUUUAAAUUUGUUUGAUGUAUCUAUGUAAUGCAUGCCCUACAAUACCACAUUGCAAGAACUACUUGGAAACUUAGGAAGUAAUCUUGAUCAAAGCACCGUAUCUAAUACUUUUUGGGUAAUAUUCACAGUUAGAGCCCUACAAGGCAUGUAUAGGUAUUUUAAUACUCAACCACAUCUUGAGGGAUGGAAAUCAAAUAGUGAUGAUCAGGGGCGAAACAUGAGCAACGUAAGAAGGGGGGCCGAAUCCUAUAGUGUGUCUAUACACACACACACACACACACACACACACAUAUAUAUAUAUAUAUAUAUAUAUAUAUAUAUAUAUAUAUAUAUAUAUAUAUAUAUAUAUAUAGCAAUGCUCAUAAGAAUAAUUAAAAAGGAAUUAUGUCGCAUAAGAUUUGUACCAAAAUGACAAUUAAAUCGAUCAAUAUAAUAAAAGUUUAUCAAUGUUUAUACAAUCAAGUUUUGACAAUUUAGCCAAAGACUUGUAUAUAAAUAUAUUUAAGAAAACAGACUAAAUCAAUUGAUUUGAGUUGUACUAUGCAUUUUAUGACCAUUAACUACAAAAACCAUUAUGAUAAAAAAAAUAAUAAAUGUAAGACAGCCACAUCAUGAAAAAGUACUAAAGUUCACAGUAACUCUUAACUGUAAUCAUGAAACAAAGUUAUUGACAAAAGAAAUAUAAACAAAUAUAUAUAGAAGUUAUAUACUUUUUAAGCCUCAAAAGCAAACGGAAGAUAACAACAAAACUGAGAAGAAGAAUGCUUACUUGUAGGCGGUGGGUGGGUGAGGCAAAGCGACAACAAGGGUGAAAUAGGGUAGAAACGCUACUCUCCGGCUGUUGGCGACGCUUCUUUCAUACCUUGUAUCUCAUUUUUCUUUUUAACUUUUUGAAGAUAUUUUUUCUUUUUGAACUUUCACGAUCUUCUUUUUUCUGCAACUUCUCUCCUCCUAUUUUCCCUCCUAUUUAGUUGUAAUUGAUCUUUAAAGCACAAGAUCGUUCUUUACAACUUUAUUGUCGCAUUCACAUUUAUGACGGAAAAUACAUAUUUGGUCUUAUAUUAAUAAUUUUAAAUUUAAAUUUAAAGUUUGUUCUACAAAGAACUGUUAUAAUAGAUGCAUUAUCUUCUCUUUUAACCUUUUCUAAAUCAUGAGGGGCCAAGAGUAGUAUUUACCUUAAACUAAUAAUCUGAUUUAGAAUUUUUUGAUAUUAGAAGGCAAAAAAAACAGGGGGGCCAUGGCCCCUCCUGGCCCCUAAAGGGAUCCGCCCCUGGUGGUGAUCUUUUUCAAGAAUCGUGGCAUGGCUCCCUCACAUUUGAUUCGAAAGGUCAUUUUAUUUCUCAAAUUAGUUUUAAAUUAUAAUAGUUAUUAUAUUAUAAAUUUUUUUCUUUAUUCAUAUGAUUUAAUUGGUACUAUUUUUAAAAAGAAAAAGAUCUAUACAUGUUCUAUUGAUAAUUGGUAUUUAGUCAUAAAAAAACAAAUUGAUAUAUUUUUCUAACAAAAGCUUCGUGUGAGCAUUUAUUAAUGUCAAGUGCAUGUAAAAUUUACUCAUGUUAUUUUGUAUGUUGAACUUUCCCAUGCAAAUCCUGAUGGGCUGUAGUCACAAACAUGUAUCUUAUUUAUUUUUCAUAGGAAACAUACAUUAGGUUUGCUUGGAUAUUCCCUGAUCUUUUUGGAGAAAAGGAGGUAUUUUUUAAGGGCAUCAUUAUGUCUUAUUGCCCCGGGCAACAUAUUUCUUUGGACCGGCCCUGGGUCCUUGCAUUGCAAUUGCCUAUUUAUCGGUUCUAAAGGACUGUGAGAUUCAUUGCUUUCAUGAAGGAUUGGAAGUCAAACGACUUGGUGGUCUCCAUGUCAUUGGGACAUCUUUGCAUGAGUCCCGAAGAAUUGAUAAUCAGCUUCGUGGCAGAGCAGGAAGGCAAGGAGAUCCUGGAUCAACACGCUUCAUGGUCAGGUAAGUUCAUUUAAAUGAUUUUUAUAAAGUUUAAAGUCAAUCCUUUCAUCUGGACAAAAUUCUUCAUGUUAAAUUACGUAAUAGUCCUUGGAGUAGUUGACAUGAACAGUUUUUUUUGUUAGAAUGAUUCCAUAUAUAUGUGCAAGCAAGCACAUGCCUUGUGAAAAAGGGAAAUCUAUUCUAGUCACUCUCUUUAACAAGGCAACCUUAAAGUUGAUUUUUUAAACCUGAUGUUUAAAACUACAUUGAGUGUGAGAUAGAAGUUUAUGCAGAGAAGGAAAAAGAUAGAAGUUUUUGAGGAUGUUGCUGAUGAAAAAGAUAGAGGUUCUUUAGGAUGCUGCUAAUGAACUUUAUGCAGAGAAGGAAAAAGAUAGAAGUUUGUUGGCACAUAGUAAGCUAGAUAAUUAAUGCAAUUGUAUAUAAAUGAGUUCAUUUUUUUAUAACAUUUACUCACUAUUGGAAUAAUUAUUUGUAUUUGACAUAUUAGUGAAAUGAAUUAUAUUUGUUAUUUAUGGUA